UACUGCAGGUCCCUGUUCAGGUGCCAAAUGCUGGGCUAGCUUUGCAAGCGGGAGGGAGACGACCAGGAAC
RNAcentral lists this microRNA precursor (70 nucleotides) under Erinaceus europaeus (western European hedgehog). Its description in RNAcentral is "miRNA (ENSEEUG00000022865.1)". Lineage: Eukaryota; Metazoa; Chordata; Mammalia; Eulipotyphla; Erinaceidae. The record is from RNAcentral.